RNAcentral lists this long non-coding RNA (1141 nucleotides) under Sus scrofa (pig). RNAcentral describes it as "lncRNA (ENSSSCG00070018183.1)". Lineage: Eukaryota; Metazoa; Chordata; Mammalia; Artiodactyla; Suidae. The record is from RNAcentral.
CUUGAUUAUUUCUCAAGGUAUAAAUAAAUGGAUUCAAAGUAGGUGAAACAGAAAAAAUGAGCAGUGAAACCACUUUUUUAAUAGUCACUUCUCCCUUUGCUGUAGGAUUCAUGUAGAUGAAAAUGCACGUUCCAUAGGUGAUGGAAACCACAAUCAUGUGGGAAGAGCAGGUCGAAAAAGCCUUUUUCCUUUGCUGGUCAGAAGGGAACCUAAAAAUUGUCUUGAUGAUGUAAGCAUAGGACAGAACUACACAAGUGAGAGUCAUAUUCAGGGUCAGCACAGCACAGAUUAUAACUCUGUUCCAUGGGCCAUGUGUCUGAGCAUGAGAUUUUCACUAAGGGAAACGCAUCACAGCCGAAAUGAUCAAGCCUGUUAGAGUCACAGAAUUUCAGAUUUAAACCCAGGCUAAGUGGUGGGAUUAAAACACAGAGACCAGCCAUCCAACAAGAGCUGAUGAGAAUCCCACAGACUCUGCUGCUCAUGAUGGUCACAUAAUGCAGGGGUUUGCAGAUGGCCACGUAGCGGUCAUAGGACAUGGCGGCCAGGAGAAAAAACUCUGUUAUUCCACAGAGGUCAGUGAAACACACUUGAAUGAAACAAGCAUUAUAGGUAAUGAUCUUGUCACCUGUUGCUAUGCUAUAUAGGUAUCUGGGGAUGCAAGAAGAUAUGAAUGAGACCUCCAAGAAGGAGAAAUUUUUUAAGAAAAAGUACAUGGGUGUUUUCAGGUGGGAAUCCACAAAGUUAGUACCCAUUCUGACCAAUUCACCCUUCUCCUUACAGAUUAUCAUCUCUAUAUUUUGAAGAAAGGCACAUGAACACAAUGUUUAAGAAUCAAUAAUCAUAUAUCUACAUACCUAAAUAGAUAUCUACUUUAAGAAUUGCAAUGAUAAAAACAAUAUGCAGAACUCAUGGCAAUACCGGGUCCGUUAGGAAGUUGAAGACGAGAUCUACAAAUGGUAGAACAUAAUGGCAGCAUCUUACAGGUAAAAGAUUUCAGAGAUGAUUUUGUCCAAUCUUUUACCCAAAGCUAAAAUCUCCUCCACAAAAUUUAGAUGUCUAUUUAUCCAGGGUUUUAAGACUGAAUUAAGUAUUAACUUAGGGAGAAAAUAAAUUUUAGGAUGUAAAUGUAAGAAUGAAAUCU